This is a long non-coding RNA of Zalophus californianus (California sea lion), 1677 nucleotides long. RefSeq lists it as uncharacterized. The transcript is spliced from 5 exons. Lineage: Eukaryota; Metazoa; Chordata; Mammalia; Carnivora; Otariidae. The record is from RefSeq and is a predicted model, not a curated record.
CUGCCGUGGGGAUUGUGUGUUGUUUCUUCUUUGACGGUGGGGGACGUUUCUGAGCCCCGGCUUUAUGGGCGUUUGCUCGGGCGCUACGCUGCAAGGCAGGCAUUUGCUUUCGCGAGAGAGAGAGACUUGCUCAGAGAAGGGAAGUGCUCCGCUGGGGGCUGCGAGUCUUUAGGCGGGGGGUGUGUUUUUUUUUUCCCUACGCGUUGCAGCCGGCGAGGGAGAAAAAUGCGGCUCGUGCGUGCGGUCGCUCAUCAACUGAGAACCCGGAGAUCCAGACGAGGCAAGUCACAGGUGGUUGCGAGUGACCUUGAGGGCCCCGCCCCCCCGCGCCCUGAUGCGAAUGCAAGCUUACUUCUCACGAACGACGCCGGCGGUUUUAGCUUAACACUGAGAUCUGGAAGAUGGGCCGGGAACAAAACUCGCACGCAGGGUUGACCAGAAUGAAAGGUGCCUCCCCCCGCCCCCCAUUCGAACGUUGAAGACCUAUGUGACUGUAUGUGGAGAUAAGGUCUUUAAGGAGGGAGGAUUCACUGGGUUGGCAGGAGAUUUCAUUUUCCCCAACAAUCUGGCAUUGAAAGCACGACUGGUCUGGCGGUUCUGGAUUUGAGUCAGCUAAAAUGUCUUGUGGCCACACAACAGGAGCGCAGACUUCUCGUUGCAGAAUCCCAGAGAGCAGCCAGUGCACAACCCCCCCCACCCAGGGGAGCUGUUACCUGAGAACACGCUGCGAACGUCAGUGCCUGGGGCACUGAAAAGCCUUCAGAUGAUAACAGCGGGUGAGAAGGGCACGUGAAGGACAAGGAGUUGAUUUGAGGCUGGAGGACCAGAGGGAGCAGGGGCAGCAGAGAAAAGAAGAGGCUUCUGUGAGAGAAAUUGCUGUCCUCACAGUUUCUUUUCCAUUGUUCUCCAUUUUUCCUUCAGCCUAUCCAAAUUAACUUUUAACUUUCCACUUGGAAUGAUAUUAAUCCUAUACAUACAGUAGUUCAUUCACUUGGGGUGAGGCUCUUCUAAGAACUUCCACAAAUACAUUAACUUGUCCAAGUCAGAAGAACCCUCCUCAGUCUACACAUCAGAAUUCUCAUAUGCUUACCCAUUCCAAAUGAGAGAUUGUUUAAGAAAAAGACUUGCCUCCGCAAAAUUUCUGGCUUCCUAUAUUUUUCCAUCCUCAUAGCUCAUAGUGUCCCUUGUGGUGUCUCUCCAAAUCAGUUGGGGGCCCUCCGAUGUGGGGCACUGAUGGGGUGGACCUGGUGGCAUGGGCAGUGAUAGAUUCCACCCGAGGCAGAACAAAAGAGAAGUUUAUCGGAUGCCCCGCAAGGGAGUGGAGGGCAGGACCACAGAGGACAGCUGUCUGGGAGGAGGCAGUGGGUGGAGGCUGUUUCUUAGAGGGAGGGUGAGGAGGUAUUGGUGAUAUAUAGAAUUUUCCCUUUUUUUGGUAACUGUGCCUGGUUAUAAGUAACCCAUUGUUUAGUUAGGGCCUGGAGAUAUUUUGAGGUGCAUUACAUGAUGGGCCCGUCUAUUCAGCCAGGGGGUCGCUAUGGGCCCUUUCGCCCUACCAUCACUCAAGUCUGUUUGUCUGAAAGUGACCUCUACAUUCAUGACAGAAUUUUAAAGCAUAUAUUUACCCAUUCUUACUCAAUAUCUUAAUAUUGGAGAGAGUCAGAAAGAUACAAGGGAGCA